CCCGCACAAGCGGUGGAGCAUGUGGUUUAAUCGAAGCAACGCGAAGAACCUUACCAGGUCUUGACAUCCCGAUGCUAUUUCUAGAGAUAGAAAGUUACUUCGGUACAUCGGUGACAGGUGGUGCAUGGUUGUCGUCAGCUCGUGUCGUGAGAUGUUGGGUUAAGUCCCGCAACGAGCGCAACCCCUAUUGUUAGUUGCCAUCAUUCAGUUGGGCACUCUAGCGAGACUGCCGGUAAUAAACCGGAGGAAGGUGGGAUGACGUCAAAUCAUCAUGCCCCUUAUGACCUGGGCUACACACGUGCUACAAUGGUUGGUACAACGAGUUGCGAGUCGGUGACGGCGAGCUAAUCUCUUAAAGCCAAUCUCAGUUCGGAUUGUAGGCUGCAACUCGCCUACAUGAAGUCGGAAUCGCUAGUAAUCGCGGAUCAGCACGCCGCGGUCGAAUACGUUCCCGGGCCUU
Molecule: ribosomal RNA, 460 nt
Filed under: uncultured Streptococcus sp.
Lineage: Bacteria; Bacillati; Bacillota; Bacilli; Lactobacillales; Streptococcaceae
Description: bacterial SSU rRNA
Rfam family: Bacterial small subunit ribosomal RNA
Source: RNAcentral